Molecule: transfer RNA, 75 nt
Filed under: Candidatus Berkelbacteria bacterium
Lineage: Bacteria; Candidatus Berkelbacteria
Description: tRNA-Ala
Rfam family: tRNA
About the family: Transfer RNA (tRNA) molecules are approximately 80 nucleotides in length.
Source: RNAcentral
GGGCCGUUAGCUCAGCGGUAGAGCGCCUCGUUCGCAUCGAGGAGGUCGGCGGUUCAAAUCCGCCACGGUCCACCA